This 81-nucleotide small nuclear RNA is filed under the name Daucus carota subsp. sativus. RNAcentral's name for it is "sRNA DCAR_sn00343". Lineage: Eukaryota; Viridiplantae; Streptophyta; Magnoliopsida; Apiales; Apiaceae. The record is from RNAcentral.
UGUCUAUGUGAUGAGAUACUAUUUGGCUAUGAAGUUUAACUUCUGUGAAGCUAUUUUAUGUCAUAGUUACACUGAUAGACC